Molecule: long non-coding RNA, 272 nt
Filed under: Linum usitatissimum (flax)
Lineage: Eukaryota; Viridiplantae; Streptophyta; Magnoliopsida; Malpighiales; Linaceae
Description: long non-coding RNA (LUSI_LNC000729)
Source: RNAcentral
UAAAUAAGCAUCGAACUUCAUCACAGAGAACUUCAAGAUAAAGCAAUAUAAUGGAACUGAUCUCAUUAUCAAUAUACUCAAACUAAAUAUGAUAUGCUGAUAGAACAUGAACCAACAACAAAGAGCACAUGUAACUGUUAAUGAGAGCAAUCAUACAUGAUAAACCCAAAACAAACACAAUUCAUAACCUGCCUAAUGCAAUCUAACCAUCUAAAAGAACACAAUUCGUGACUCCGUAUUGAUGUGCAGCCAUCGCCAUAACUCAACCCUAA